GACUGCAGGCUCCAUUGUGCUCGCGAGCGGGGCACGCCGGGAUAUGUAGUUUCCGGCCCCUGCCCUCCGGGAGGUCCUGUGCUGCCUACUUCACAGUGACUUGUCUCUGCCUGGUGAACUCGCGGUGUUCUGCUAAUCUUGGAAAAAUCAAGUCCCUCUUCGUCCUCGUCCAUGAUGGCCACAUGGAGAGUAAAACACAGAAAUCUGUUUUCUGGUCUUUCGUCUCUUCAGCAUAAAUUAUUUCUUGCCCUGUCUACAAGUUAAUAGCGGAGCCUCAAUGUGAGAUGCAGAGACUGCCCAUCAAACCACAGCCAUAUUCAUCAAGCUUUGAGCCGAUCCGGUGAAGGAGAAAUGAGCACUGCAUACAUUAUUCAGAGAAAGGGACCAAAUAAAGCUUUUAAUAGGAAAUGAAAAUGUAUUUUAAAGCGUCGGUGCAAACAGCCAAUUAUUUUCAUUAUGUAUGUUUUAUCUUGCAAUGACCUCUGGUUUAUCAGUGGAAUUAAGAGAUGAGUGAUACAUGUAUCCACGUGUUUUUGUGUAAUGAGAGUUUUCACCUUCUCCUCAAAUCUCCAUAUUAAGCAGCAGUCAGGGAACCAAACUGAUUAAAUUCGUGUUUUUCAUUUGUUUUCCCUUAUUCACUGUCUGGCAAACCGUAUAAGAACUUAAGCAAUUACAAAGUUAGAGAAAAGGACCUGAAGUCUUCAAUAAACUUGAAAUCAGGGAGUAUAGUCCUCCACCUUUAUCCUUUUUCAAA
Molecule: long non-coding RNA, 754 nt
Organism: Gorilla gorilla gorilla (western lowland gorilla)
Lineage: Eukaryota; Metazoa; Chordata; Mammalia; Primates; Hominidae
Exons: 3
Source: RefSeq, a predicted model, not a curated record